UACGUAGGGGGCAAGCGUUGUCCGGAAUUAUUGGGCGUAAAGAGCGCGUAGGCGGUCCGAUAAGUCGGCUGUGAAGGUCAGGGGCUCAACCCUUGGAAGCCGGCCGAUACUGUCGGACUAGAGUCCGGAAGAGGCGAGUGGAAUUCCCGGUGUAGCGGUGAAAUGCGCAGAUAUCGGGAGGAACACCAAUGGCGAAGGCAGCUCGCUGGGACGGUACUGACGCUGAGGCGCGAAAGCGUGGGGAGCAAACAGG
RNAcentral lists this ribosomal RNA (253 nucleotides) under uncultured bacterium. RNAcentral's name for it is "partial 16S ribosomal RNA". It matches the Rfam family "Bacterial small subunit ribosomal RNA", at positions 524 to 776 of the family's 1533-position model. The record is from RNAcentral.